AUUCAGUUGAAGAGUCCCAAAUAGAACGAAACGCGUAUCCUAAAU
Schistosoma curassoni is the source of this 45-nucleotide non-coding RNA. NCBI's taxonomy places the organism in Eukaryota, Metazoa, Platyhelminthes, Trematoda, Strigeidida, Schistosomatidae. The record is from Rfam.